RNAcentral lists this ribosomal RNA (639 nucleotides) under uncultured bacterium. RNAcentral's name for it is "bacterial SSU rRNA". The stretch from base 1 to 544 matches the Rfam family "Bacterial small subunit ribosomal RNA", at positions 338 to 873 of the family's 1533-position model. The record is from RNAcentral.
CCUACGGGAGGCAGCAGUAGGGAAUCUUCCACAAUGGGCGAAAGCCUGAUGGAGCAACGCCGCGUGAGUGAUGAAGGCCUUCGGGUUGUAAAACUCUGUCAUUCGGGACGAACCGGAGUCUGAGGAAAUGCAGACUCUCUGACGGUACCGGAGGAGGAAGCCCCGGCUAACUACGUGCCAGCAGCCGCGGUAAUACGUAGGGGGCAAGCGUUGUCCGGAUUCACUGGGCGUAAAGCGCGCGCAGGCGGUGAUGUAAGUCUGAGGUGAAAACCCGAAGCUCAACUUCGGGACUGCCUUGGAUACUGCGUCACUUGAGGAUAGGAGAGGCAAGGGGAAUUCCACGUGUAGCGGUGAAAUGCGUAGAGAUGUGGAGGAACACCUGUGGCGAAGGCGCCUUGCUGGCCUAUUUCUGACGCUGAGGCGCGAAAGCGUGGGGAGCAAACAGGAUUAGAUACCCUGGUAGUCCACGCUGUAAACGAUGAGUGCUAGGUGUAGGUGGGCUCAUACCACUCUGUGCGACGACUACGACAUAAGACACNCCGCCGUCGGGUAGGUACGGUCGCGACGACGUAGAACGUACGAAGUAGAAGUUAGACGGACGUUGAGGACGNGCCGACGGCGACGACGAGGGGAGGUAGG